AGGAUUCCCUCAGUAGCUGCGAGCGAACAGGGAAAAGCCCAGCACCGAAUCCCGCGGCCGAUACCGGACGCCGGGAAAUGUGGUGUUAGGGAGGAUCCAUUUAUCCCGAGAUUGUGCGGUGCGUCCAAGUCCUUCUUGAACGGGGCCACAGCCCAUAGAGGGUGCCAGGCCCGUAGCGACCUCCGCCUAUUUCGGGAGGAUCUCUCCUCAGAGUCGGGUUGCUUGAGAGUGCAGCCCUAAGUGGGUGGUAAACUCCAUCUAAGGCUAAAUAUGACCACGAGACCGAUAGCGAACAAGUACCGUGA
RNAcentral lists this ribosomal RNA (305 nucleotides) under Anthonaeus agavensis. RNAcentral's name for it is "eukaryotic LSU rRNA". It matches the Rfam family "Eukaryotic large subunit ribosomal RNA", at positions 71 to 356 of the family's 3401-position model. Lineage: Eukaryota; Metazoa; Arthropoda; Insecta; Coleoptera; Kateretidae. The record is from RNAcentral.